Molecule: long non-coding RNA, 909 nt
Filed under: Phasianus colchicus (ring-necked pheasant)
Lineage: Eukaryota; Metazoa; Chordata; Aves; Galliformes; Phasianidae
Description: lncRNA (ENSPCLG00000005069.1)
Source: RNAcentral
CGAUUAUCAGAGCACAGGAAAGCUGUUUGGUCACAAAAUACCUUGUGGAUUCCAGUUGCAAAGUGUCCAUUCCUUGUUUUGGUUUGUUUCAACUUCUUGGAAGCUGCUGUGCAAAGCUAAAACAUCCUCCUGCAUUCAGGUGACAUUGUUCUACUCGCCAAACCUGUAACUUUAACAGAGGGUGACAGGGUGACCUUGACGACAGAUGUUCCUGUGGCAACAGAUGGCACUAGCAAACCCGAGAAGCUGCUGUACGCCGUCUCCGUGCCACCUGUGCAUGGUCAGAUUGAGCACAUCAAUUAUCCCGGCGUGCCCAUUCCCAGACACAGACGGUUGGAUGUGGUGGCCCAGAAGGUCCCCUCUAUCCAUGACAAUAGCCAUGAGGCCGGGAAGGAGCCACUCAGGAGAAUUGCCCAUCCAUCUUUACACCGGGAGGCAAAGAUCUCUCUAAAUUGUGAAUGUUGGGCAGACGUUCUCUUCAAGUUUUCUGUGGAAAAGAAUGAGUCAAAAUGCAUAUACUUUAUUUAUUAAAAAAAAAAAAAAAAAAGGCAAGAGAAAAGCAGUUUUGCUUGUAAGUUUCCAUUUGCAAUUCUUUUUUAUGAUCUUUUCUCCUCCCUGAACACAUGUAUGAAAUGGAACCAAUUCGUUGCUUGCUGGGAAGGGGUUACUUCUUGUGUUGUGUUAUGGGCCAAAGAUUGGCAGCUGGUUUAAAUCAGUAUAUCUACAUUUGCUGAAAGGAUGCUGCAGCCGUUUUAAGUGGCUCUGCGGCGUAUAAAGUUAGUUCAUAAAGUUGCUGAGAAGUUCUCUUUCCUAAUGAUCUCUGUGGUCACAAGGGCUCAUCUCUCCUUUCAGGGGACCACUGAGUAUUCUGCCAACUGGAGGUGAUGGGGAGCAUCACCCUUCUUUUGU